GACGAACGCUGGCGGCGUGCUUAACACAUGCAAGUCGAACGGGAUUUAGUAAACAGAAGCCUCGGUGGAAGAUUACUAAUGAGAGUGGCGAACGGGUGAGUAACGCGUGAGCAACCUGCCUAUGACAGUGGGAUAGCCUCGGGAAACCGGGAUUAAUACCGCAUAAAAUCGUAGAAACACAUGUUUUAACGGUCAAAGAUUUAUCGGUCAUAGAUGGGCUCGCGUCUGAUUAGCUAGUUGGUGAGAUAACAGCCCACCAAGGCGACGAUCAGUAGCCGGUGGGGGAGGGGGAACGGCACAAUUGAAAUUGGGCCCAGGCCCAAACUCCAGGGGGAGGAAGGGGUGGGGAAAUUUGCAAAGGGGGGAAAACCCAGAAACGCCGCGGCCGGGGGAACGAAAAGGGUUUUGUAACCCAAAAUUUCUUGCCAAGGGGAGUAAAAGAACGUAACCAGAAAAGAAGCCCCCGCCAAAAACGGG
This 477-nucleotide ribosomal RNA is filed under the name uncultured bacterium. RNAcentral describes it as "partial 16S ribosomal RNA". It matches the Rfam family "Bacterial small subunit ribosomal RNA", at positions 28 to 507 of the family's 1533-position model. The record is from RNAcentral.